Paramuricea clavata is the source of this 617-nucleotide non-coding RNA. The record is from the annotation of a GenBank genome assembly. NCBI's taxonomy places the organism in Eukaryota, Metazoa, Cnidaria, Anthozoa, Malacalcyonacea, Plexauridae.
CAAAACUCAAAAGCCGUGUUGAAGUGAGCUGUGAUGUUUCCUGACAAAACAAGAAGCGUCUACUAUUAUUUAAGCUGUAGUUUUCCUUGUACAGUAUUUAUUAGUGCAGAUGUCUGAUGAAAUACUACGCGUAUUGCAUUGUGGUAAUAUUUUAAUUUACAAUAUUCUAUACUGACAAAUAAAAGCAAGACAAACAAUUAAAUGAAGCUACGAAAUUAAUUUAGGCCCUGUUUACUUAAUAGCUCUACGCCUAGGCCAAUGUAGUCUUUACAAGAUUCGCACGCCAGCCAGAUUUUCAGUUUCAGAAUACCCCGAAUACUUGAAAAUUGCGACGAUACGAUAAAAAUAAAACAAAGAUUGUGAAGGGGAUAAAAUUUGUAGGCUAGCAUUGCUCCUGAACGGUAAGUGUUGGUGUCCGACGAAACAAGCGAAUCCGUAUACUCCUGUUACUACGGCGUAAACAGGUUACGCGAGGUUUAUAUUUGUGUUUAUUUAUAUUGAACUAAGUCAGAUCUAUAAGAGCAUAUUUAAACUAAAUAUUAAUUAUAGCAAUAGCCAUAUUCUUCAAGACGAGAGAAAGGAAAUUUCGUGUGAAUCACCACUUACAUGGAGACACC